This 90-nucleotide transfer RNA is filed under the name Sandaracinaceae bacterium. RNAcentral's name for it is "tRNA-Ser". It matches the Rfam family "tRNA". From Rfam's summary of the family: Transfer RNA (tRNA) molecules are approximately 80 nucleotides in length. Their secondary structure includes four short double-helical elements and three loops (D, anti-codon, and T loops). Further hydrogen bonds mediate the characteristic L-shaped molecular structure. tRNAs have two regions of fundamental functional importance: the anti-codon, which is responsible for specific mRNA codon recognition, and the 3' end, to which the tRNAs corresponding amino acid is attached (by aminoacyl-tRNA synthetases). tRNAs cope with the degeneracy of the genetic code in two manners: having more than one tRNA (with a specific anti-codon) for a particular amino acid; and 'wobble' base-pairing, i.e. permitting non-standard base-pairing at the 3rd anti-codon position. The record is from RNAcentral. Lineage: Bacteria; Pseudomonadati; Myxococcota; Polyangiales; Sandaracinaceae.
GGAGAGGUGACCGAGUGGUUGAAGGUGCACGAUUGGAAAUCGUGUGUGCGAGAAAUCGUACCGAGGGUUCGAAUCCCUCUCUCUCCGCCA